CCUAGUCAAAAUAAGCCAUUUAAUGUUACAUUAUAAAUAACUAUUAAAAAUGCACGCACUGCAGCAGCUGUCUAUACAAAUGUAUCAAUACAUUAAAUGCUGACUUUUUUUAUUUUGAGUUCUUUAAUGUGUUUUGAGUGUGCUUUAAAAUGUGUUUAAAAGUGUUCACGUUUCCUCACCAAUAUUUCAGCUGCAGUAUGUGAGUGAGGUUGCCAUGGAGAUCGCGUGUGAGGAGGUGAUGCAUGUGGUUGGAGCUGAACUGGAACUACAACAGGAUGGAGACAUUAGCCAACAUCAUGAAGGCCCUGGCACCUGGAUCGUUCCCAAGCAUUACAAUCUUCAGGAGGACUCCAGUGAGGAUGAGGAUGGCGUGCCGAUGCAGGUGCUCCGCGAGGGCCUGGGCGACUGCGUGUGUUGUGUGUGCGGUGAGCGCUUCGCGUUCCUCGCCCACCUGAUUGAGCACUUCGGUGUGCACAGGUCCGAUGUGCGCUGUCACCUCUGCCAGGUGAUGUUCCCACGCGUCAUCUCACUGGCCCUGCACCUGGAGAACUCCCACUCAGGGUGCCGCCUUUUCUGCGAUGGCUGUGGCCUCACCUUCCGUAGCGCCUGGCACAUGAACGAGCACAUGGAGCAGCACGCGCGGAGGAAGGAGGUGCCAGGACCGCGCACUCUGAGGCCUUCGUCGUCGUACCAGAAUUCCCGGGAGGUGGAGAUGGUGGAGGAGUCCGUGGUGGAGAACGAGGAGAUGAACGUAAAGUACCUGAAGGACGAGGAGCAGGAGGUGGAGGUGACAAAGGUCAACGGGUCCAUAGAAAACCACAUCCUGGAUAUUCCAGAGAAUCGGCUGGUGUUGCGAGCUUGCGAGCUUGAUCAUAAUUAUUAUUGCACACGGAGCCUCCCAAAGCCUAUGGUUGUCCCAGUGAAUGCACACAACAUGCUGGGCUCUGUCGUGGAAACUUCAGACAAAGUCACAAACACCAGCAGCGAAACUUUAUAUGUGAACAAUAAUAAAUCACACACUAGGACAUCCUCCAAAGACUCGGAGCCUGAGGGUGGUCAGCAGGAAACGGUCAAAGUUGUGGUGCUUCGCAAUUUGCCCCAGAAAGCGGGCAGGACUAGCGCGUCCAUUUUGGAAGCAGCCUAUAACAAGGUGAUGAAAAGCCAAAGUCGGAGAGUUGAUGCCGUCGAAGGAAAAGCCGCUGUUUGCGGUUCUGCCUCGGCCGUCCCACAGUCAGCGCCGGUUGAGCUGAACAUCAAAGUGGAAGACGACUACGAAGACGGUGGUUGGGAUUGCGGCCCGAUUCAGGAGGAAGUUGUGAAGGAAGAAGACGAGGACAGCGUCCCUAGCAGCGACCAGGACGACGGCGAUUCGUUGCCCCCGGGUGACUCGGCGUAUACCCCCGAGGAGGAUCUGAACUCUGACACCGACUCCACCACGUCCAUCAACUACAACAGUGACACCUCAGCAGACGGCUUGCAGAGAUCUCGCAGCAAAGGGAGAAGGCUGAGGGCUAGGAGCGGGCGACAGAAGCGAGCGCGCAGCAGCGUGGUCCAGAAGCCCCUCGCCGCGGCCCUAGAGCCAGGCUCGUCCGUAGACGGCUCAAUCUGCGUCUCCUGCGGCCUCCGCAGAGAUCCUGGUGCGGUGGGGCGGUGCGGCUGCGCACCGCUGCACGCUUGCUGCCUGUGCGGCCUCGCGCAAGGGACGGAAGAGCAGCUGCUCAAACACCAGGCCGAGAAGCACCCGUCCACCAAGUACGUCUGCGCCAGCUGCCUGUGCGUCUUUCCCGACCAGAAUAUUUUCACAAAGCACGCCUGCUGCAGCAAGCCCGAGACGCCUGCCGGCCCACCGCUGGCCCAGGACAAGAACGCAGGCAGCUCCAAAAAUCUGCCCCUGAUGAUUCUGAAUUUUGUGCCUUCACCCUCCACUGGAGGGCCUUCUAAGCCCCCUCUCAGCACCGGGGACAGUCAGUGCAGGGCCUUGCCUGCCCUUCUGCUCACCAACAAUGUCAUCGUUAACCCUCUUCAGAAACUUGGCGCCUUGACAAACUCCUCGCUGCCUGUUUUGCCCAGCAAACCGUCCUCGCCCUCUAAUCAAUCAGUGCCAGUGCAGGUAAUGGCCACUAUGUCACUGAACAGUGAGCAGAAGGUAACGGGUUUAGUCUUAAAAGGGGCACAGGGCCCAGGGAUGUCUGUAUCUACAGUGUCUCAGGCAGAGACGGGGCAGCUUAACGUAGUAAUGCAUCCGCAGACCAAAGCGGAGAGAGCAGCUCCCUCUGCCGCUGACGUGAAGCCAGCUAAAAUGGUUAUCCAAGGCGUCGUCAUGUCCCA
Long non-coding RNA from Electrophorus electricus (electric eel), 2328 nucleotides. The record is from Ensembl. Lineage: Eukaryota; Metazoa; Chordata; Actinopteri; Gymnotiformes; Gymnotidae.